GUGAAUUUUAAAAGUCUCCAUUUGGGUAUAGCACCCAAAAAUUGUGGCAUGUGCUAGUCAAUGACAAAUCAGAAAUAACUAACUGCCCACCUGGGCUGUCCUAAGCCAAGCUAGAGCCAACCAUUGGCACUUGUGAGACACAGGAAGUGAGGUAGGGAACAGCCUCUGGAAUUCGCUCACUUCCUGUGGAGAGAGCUAGAUGCCAGUUGGUGUGAGGAGCUUGGACAGAGAGGACGCCCACAGACAGCUUUCCUUCAGAUCGGUCACAUGGAAUAAACUAUCAAAAGAAAGAAUAUUCACCACCAUAGAAGGAAUAAAUGGAAUUCACAUAUUGAAGUUUACCGUUCUUCAGCUGAUUUUUUUCUAAUUGUGUCAUCCUUGAAUUCAAAAUAACAAAGUACAAAUGACUAAUAGGGUGUUCAUGUCCAAGAGAGGUAAGGAAUCUAGUUGAUGAAUUCAAGAUACCUGGCCUAGAUAAACUACAUCUUUGAAUUCUGAAACAACAACAACAACAACAACAACAACAAGGAAAUGUGAUUGUUGAACCUUUCA
RNAcentral lists this long non-coding RNA (552 nucleotides) under Monodelphis domestica (gray short-tailed opossum). RNAcentral describes it as "lncRNA (ENSMODG00000035180.2)". The record is from RNAcentral. Lineage: Eukaryota; Metazoa; Chordata; Mammalia; Didelphimorphia; Didelphidae.